AAUAAAAUUGAGAAUGGAAAUGGGGAAUGUGCCAAAGAGACAACAACCCUACCAUAGAGCAGACAACAGCAGAAGGUCACCAACAGGUCUUCAAUGCAACGAGAAAUUCUCGCACCCGGAGGCGUCCUUCAGCUGGCCCCUAAACAAAUAUAUACUGGUUCAGUGAUAAUGAACACCAUACUAAACUCCAAAUUGUACACAAGG
RNAcentral lists this long non-coding RNA (204 nucleotides) under Mytilus galloprovincialis (Mediterranean mussel). The record is from RNAcentral. Lineage: Eukaryota; Metazoa; Mollusca; Bivalvia; Mytilida; Mytilidae.